This is a long non-coding RNA of Mustela lutreola (European mink), 604 nucleotides long. RefSeq lists it as uncharacterized. The transcript is spliced from 4 exons. Lineage: Eukaryota; Metazoa; Chordata; Mammalia; Carnivora; Mustelidae. The record is from RefSeq and is a predicted model, not a curated record.
GGUACUAAGAUCCGUAUAACUUUGGAAGCAAUAGAAGGAAAUAGAGCAUCUGAACGAAUAUCAAGUAUACAAUUAACCUUGAAAAUCAAGCCUUAGAAGUAAAAUUUGAAAGACACCUGAUCACAUGUGCCACCCCCAUCUCUGUUUGACGUCGGAAAAAAGCCAGAGGCACCAAGAAAUUAACUAACCUGCCCAAGGACCGAUGACUUGUGAAUGAUGGCAUUAGGAUUUGAAUCCAGGUCUGAUUCUAAAGUUCCACUUUUAAGUACUCAGCCCUGCCACACCUUGAGGCGAGCUUGCUGGUUCCUUGGUGAACAUGUUUCAACCUCUGACAUAUUGCAAGAAGAGGGAAAGAUACUAUCCAGAGAUGAUAUUCAAAAUACUCCGCAACAGAAUGGAUAUUGACCUCUGCGUAGAGCACAGUCCUCAAGUCUGAGGGUCUGACACUGAGCUACUGAUUGAAAUGUUUGGAUUGAGGACCUUUACAAACGUAUCUGUUGGGCAGAUAACGUUGUCAAGACUUUAAGGUAACACCGAUCUGUUCUCCUAGGCUCCAAAUACUUUUUAAAGGUUCAGCUGAAAAACAUUGCUACCUCUUGGUCCC